Molecule: ribosomal RNA, 504 nt
Filed under: uncultured bacterium
Lineage: Bacteria
Description: bacterial SSU rRNA
Rfam family: Bacterial small subunit ribosomal RNA
Source: RNAcentral
CACGAGUUUGAUCCUGGCUCAGAUUGAACGCUGGCGGAAUGCUUUACACAUAGCAAGUCGAACGGUAGAGGGGGCAACCCCGUUGAGGAGUGGCGAACGGGUGAGUAAUAUAUCGGAACGUGCCAGUCGUGGGGGAUAACGUAGCGAAAGUUACGCUAAUACCGCAUACGAUCUAAGGAUGAAAGCGGGGGAUCGCAAGACCUCGCGCGAUUGGAGCGGCCGAUAUCAGAUUAGGUAGUUGGUGGGGUAAAGGCUCACCAAGCCAACGAUCUGUAGCUGGUCUGAGAGGACGACCAGCCACACUGGAACUGAGACACGGUCCAGACUCCUACGGGAGGCAGCAGUGGGGAAUUUUGGACAAUGGACGCAAGUCUGAUCCAGCCAUUCCGCGUGCAGGAUGGUGGCCCUCGGGUUGUAAACUGCUUUUGUACGGAACGAAAAGGUUUCUCUUAAUACGAGGAGCUCAUGACGGUACCGUAAGAAUAAGCACCGGCUAACUACGUG